This 253-nucleotide ribosomal RNA is filed under the name uncultured bacterium. RNAcentral describes it as "partial 16S ribosomal RNA". It matches the Rfam family "Bacterial small subunit ribosomal RNA", at positions 524 to 776 of the family's 1533-position model. The record is from RNAcentral.
UACGUAGGGUGCAAGCGUUGUCCGGAAUUAUUGGGCGUAAAGAGCUCGUAGGCGGCUUGUCGCGUCGGCUGUGAAAACCUGGGGCUCAACCUCAGGCCUGCAGUCGAUACGGGCGGACUUGAGUACUGCAGGGGAGACUGGAAUUCCUGGUGUAGCGGUGAAAUGCGCAGAUAUCAGGGGGAACACCGGUGGCGAAGGCGGGUCUCUGGGCAGUAACUGACGCUGAGGAGCGAAAGCGUGGGGAGCGAACAGG